RNAcentral lists this ribosomal RNA (499 nucleotides) under uncultured bacterium. RNAcentral describes it as "bacterial SSU rRNA". It matches the Rfam family "Bacterial small subunit ribosomal RNA", at positions 29 to 509 of the family's 1533-position model. The record is from RNAcentral.
AACAAACGCUGGCGGCGUGCCUAACACAUGCAAGUCGUACGAGAAAGUCGGCUUCGGCCGAUGAGUACAGUGGCGCACGGGUGAGUAGCGCGUGGGUAAUCUGCCCCCCGGUCAGGAAUAACCCGCCGAAAGGCGGGCUAAUACCCGAUAACACUGACGCUCCGCGGAGCGUCUUUCAAAGAAGGCCUCUGUUUACAAGCUUUCGCCGGAGGAUGAGCCCGCGUACCAUUAGCUAGUUGGCAGGGUAAUGGCCUACCAAGGCUACGAUGGUUAGCUGGUCUGAGAGGAUGGCCAGCCACACUGGAACUGAGACACGGUCCAGACUCCUACGGGAGCAGCAGUGAGGAAUAUUGGUCAAUGGGCGCAAGCCUGAACCAGCCAUCCCGCGUGCAGGAAGACGGCCCUAUGGGUUGUAAACUGCUUUUCCAGGGAGAGAAACUUACGCACGUGUUGCGUGACUGACGGUACCCGUGGAAUAAGCAUCGGCUAACUCCGUGCC